RNAcentral lists this ribosomal RNA (919 nucleotides) under Alternaria sp. TD11. Its description in RNAcentral is "eukaryotic LSU rRNA". It matches the Rfam family "Eukaryotic large subunit ribosomal RNA", at positions 54 to 993 of the family's 3401-position model. Lineage: Eukaryota; Fungi; Ascomycota; Dothideomycetes; Pleosporales; Pleosporaceae. The record is from RNAcentral.
UGGAAGAAGAACCAACAGGGAUUGCCCUAGUAACGGCGAGUGAAGCGGCAACAGCUCAAAUUUGAAAUCUGGCUCUUUUAGAGUCCGAGUUGUAAUUUGCAGAGGGCGCUUUGGCUUUGGCAGCGGUCCAAGUUCCUUGGAACAGGACGUCACAGAGGGUGAGAAUCCCGUACGUGGUCGCUGGCUAUUGCCGUGUAAAGCCCCUUCGACGAGUCGAGUUGUUUGGGAAUGCAGCUCUAAAUGGGAGGUACAUUUCUUCUAAAGCUAAAUAUUGGCCAGAGACCGAUAGCGCACAAGUAGAGUGAUCGAAAGAUGAAAAGCACUUUGGAAAGAGAGUCAAACAGCACGUGAAAUUGUUGAAAGGGAAGCGCUUGCAGCCAGACUUGCUUACAGUUGCUCAUCCGGGUUUUUACCCGGUGCACUCUUCUGUAGGCAGGCCAGCAUCAGUUUGGGCGGUAGGAUAAAGGUCUCUGUCACGUACCUCCUUUCGGGGAGGCCUUAUAGGGGAGACGACAUACUACCAGCCUGGACUGAGGUCCGCGCAUCUGCUAGGAUGCUGGCGUAAUGGCUGUAAGCGGCCCGUCUUGAAACACGGACCAAGGAGUCUAACAUCUAUGCGAGUGUUUGGGUGUCAAGCCCGAGCGCGUAAUGAAAGUGAACGGAGGUGGGAACCCGCAAGGGUGCACCAUCGACCGAUCCUGAUGUCUUCGGAAGGAUUUGAGUAAGAGCAUGGCUGUUGGGACCCGAAAGAUGGUGAACUAUGCUUGAAUAGGGUGAAGCCAGAGGAAACUCUGGUGGAGGCUCGCAGCGGUUCUGACGUGCAAAUCGAUCGUCAAAUUUGGGCAUAGGGGCGAAAGACUAAUCGAACUAUCUCGUACCUGGUUCCUGCGAUUCCCCCCGAGAAAAGAAGAAGAAAAAC